GCCAGCCAAAAACCGGUUACACCGGAACCCCCGGGAGACCCAGCCGGAGGCGGUACGGACUCGGCCUAGGGCCGGCCUUCUCCCGCCGCCGGGACGGACGGCCGUCGGUGGGCCGCCAGUUUCCAGCUUCCACUAGAAAUAGUGUGGAAGUAAAGGAGCGCCGGCUCCGGGAAGUAAUGAAGAGACUUACCAGCCAGAAGGGUAGCCAGCGCAUGUCGGAGGUAGACGAAAGGGUUAAGCGCGACGGUUUCCAGCACCGAUUCCGAGUGGGAAGGUUGGAGGUCGUCCGAGCCGAGUCUUUUCCUUUUUUCGGAUGAUGGCGUCCACCAACCGGUAAAUCAAGGUUAGCUUCUUCAUUUACUCCACCGAUUUCGCUAUCGGUCGGUAGGUAGGCUGGGCCGGCACCCGAAGGCUCCCGUUAAAACUGGCCGCCCGGGAAUUUUUCCCACACCGGCUCGACGGGUUUUCCCGACAUCUUCGGCCAUCCGGGAAAAGCCGAUGGGUCCGGACGACGGUAGCCACCGGUUGGGUCCGGACGGUGUUGGCGGCGCUCCGGCCGGGAAGACCGACGGGAGGCGGGCUAACCGGAUUACUCUUUCUAGUCGGACGGAACCGAAGAUAAGCACGGUGGACGGGCGGCCGGUAGCCAGCCUAACUGCCGUAGCUAAUCGAUCAGACGGCGCUAGUGGGUCCCGUACGGUUCGGAAGGGACUACCGGCUACCUCGGCGCACCAAACUGGCCAAAAUGUUAUGGCCACUUAAAGCUAAGACCAAUCGGUGGCACCACCAGUCGAUACACCCCUAUAGCCGCCCGUUGGACCGGGCGGUUUCCGUAUAGCCCAGGGGUCGGCAACCUUUCUGGAGUUAAGAGUCAUUUUUUUCCCGAUGUGAUAAAUUAUUUUUAUAAAGAGCCAAAUAUAAGUACAUACAUCGAUAAUAUGUUUUUUAGAAGGUACCUAAAACUUUCGCC
RNAcentral lists this long non-coding RNA (970 nucleotides) under Androctonus crassicauda. The record is from RNAcentral. Lineage: Eukaryota; Metazoa; Arthropoda; Arachnida; Scorpiones; Buthidae.